UGCCAAUGAUGCAGUUAAAAUGCACGUAUUAGCAGAGAUAAUUAUGAUGAUAUAUGCUAUUGUCACUACCUCUGAGGCA
Small nucleolar RNA from Prunus persica (peach), 79 nucleotides. It matches the Rfam family "Small nucleolar RNA snoR122". The record is from Rfam. Lineage: Eukaryota; Viridiplantae; Streptophyta; Magnoliopsida; Rosales; Rosaceae.